Molecule: non-coding RNA, 103 nt
Organism: Acanthosepion pharaonis
Lineage: Eukaryota; Metazoa; Mollusca; Cephalopoda; Sepiida; Sepiidae
Source: the annotation of a GenBank genome assembly
AUGUCAUGUUGAAACACUGGUUUCCAUACGAUCAUCAAAAUUAAGCAACGUCAAGCCUGGUGAGUACCUAGAUGAGUGACCAUUUGGCAAUACCAGGUGCUGU